Molecule: long non-coding RNA, 852 nt
Filed under: Homo sapiens (human)
Lineage: Eukaryota; Metazoa; Chordata; Mammalia; Primates; Hominidae
Description: HSALNT0377563
Source: RNAcentral
GAUCGGAAGCCCGUUUUUAAGCAAUGUGUGACUGUAUGUACUAUUAUUCUCUUCCUUUACGCCAAAGAGAGGCACAGAGAUAGAUAUGGGUUGAAUUGUGUCCCCUGGAAAAGAUACGUUGAUGUCCUAACCCCCCAGUACCUCAGAAUGUGACCUUAUCUGGAUAAAGGGGUAUUGCAGACAUAAUUAGUGGAAAUGACGUCAUAGUAGAGUUGGGUUCAUAACCUAUUGUGAUUGAUGUCCUCAUGAGAACAGGAGAGAGAGAGACACGGAGAAUGCCAUGUGGACAGAGGUCGAGGCUGGGUGAGGCAGCUACAAGUCAAGGACACCAAAGAUGGCUGGCAGCCUCCAGAAACCAGGGGAGAGCCUGGGGCAGCUUCUCUCAGAGCCCUCAGAAGGAAACAACACCAACGCCAGUCUCAUGUUGGGCUUCUGGCCUCCAGAACUGUGAAAGAUUACUUUUCUUUUGUUUCCAGCCACCUGGUCUCUGGUACUUUGGGACGGCAGCCCUAGGCAACAAUGUAGAGCUGUUAAGCCAUGUGCCCACGGUCACACAGCCAGGUGGUCUCACAGCUACAUGUGUUCCGUGCUUGCAGCAGGGUGCUCCAGGGAAUGUGACAUGGUGAUGACUGCUGUUUCUAAUUACUGCCCUAUCAGGAGGCAGAGGAAGGAGCCAGCCUGGUGGGCCACUGAGGAAACGCUGACGUUCCUGAUUGUCGGGUAGCUGGGGCUGGUAGGGCCUGGCUGAUGCCUGCCUGGUCACUUGGGAGUGAGGACUUGCCUUUCCCCAAACAAACUCAACAUCUGAAUGAUUGACAAGGGCACAGCAAUCAAUAAGUCCUUAUUUCCUGA